This 468-nucleotide ribosomal RNA is filed under the name uncultured bacterium. RNAcentral's name for it is "partial 16S ribosomal RNA". It matches the Rfam family "Bacterial small subunit ribosomal RNA", at positions 28 to 507 of the family's 1533-position model. The record is from RNAcentral.
GACGAACGCUGGCGGCGCGCUUAACACAUGCAAGUCGAACGGAAUGGCCCUGCUUUUCCGUGUUGCUCGAGUGGCGAACGGGUGCGUAACACGUGAGUCUCCUGCCCUUGACUUUGGGAUAACUUCAGGAAACCUGUUCUAAUACCGGAUAGGAUCUCCUGCUGCACGGUGGGGUUUUGAAAGUUUCGCCGGCUGGCGAUCGACUCGCGGUUUAUCAGCUCGUUGGUGGGUUAGUGGCUUACCAAGGCUUUGACGUCUACCCCGCCUGAGAGGGUGAUCGGCUACACUGGGACUGACACACCGCCCAGACUCCUACGGGCGGCAGCAGUGGGGAAUAUUGCCCAAUGGGCCGAAGCCUGACGCAGGAACGCCGCGUGCGUAGUUACGGCCGUCGGGUUGUAGACCGCUUUCGACUGUUACGAAGCGUGAGUGACGGUAAUGGGUAGAGAAGCACCGGCUAACUACGUG